Molecule: ribosomal RNA, 802 nt
Filed under: uncultured Enterobacter sp.
Lineage: Bacteria; Pseudomonadati; Pseudomonadota; Gammaproteobacteria; Enterobacterales; Enterobacteriaceae
Description: bacterial SSU rRNA
Rfam family: Bacterial small subunit ribosomal RNA
Source: RNAcentral
GAUUACAGCACAUCUAUCCCGCUCAUGCCCCACCUCCUCCCCCGAGAUUCCCUCCCCCCCCCGGGGCUCCCUCAUCUCUGCGCAUUUCCCCAAGUGCGCCCGGAAUUCCCCCUCCCCCUUGGAUUCCCCCCUUCUCACCUUAACUCUAACCCUCCCGUGUCUAACGCAGUGCCCUCGAUUAGCCCAGUGAUAUCACAUCUACGCUUACCUAUCCGCCCGCGUCCCCCUUGUGCUCCAAUACCUCGCAAGAUGAAUCCACCCCCUCUAUUCUCCCCCUCCAGCGACCCCGGAGCAGACGGUUCCGUCCUCUCGGGCACUCUGACACUGGACAUGCAUGGUUGUCGUCAGCUUGCGUUGCGAAAUCUUGGGUUAAGUACCGCAAAGAGCGCAACCCUUCUCCUUUCUUGCCCGCGGUUCGGCCGGGAACUCAAAGGAGACUGCCAGUGAUAAACUGGAGGAAGGUGGGGAUGACGUCAAGUCAUCAUGGCCCUUACGAGUAGGGCUACACACGUGCUACAAUGGCGUAUACAAAGAGAAGCGACCUCGCGAGAGCAAGCGGACCUCAUAAAGUACGUCGUAGUCCGGAUUGGAGUCUGCAACUCGACUCCAUGAAGUCGGAAUCGCUAGUAAUCGUAGAUCAGAAUGCUACGGUGAAUACGUUCCCGGGCCUUGUACACACCGCCCGUCACACCAUGGGAGUGGGUUGCAAAAGAAGUAGGUAGCUUAACCUUCGGGAGGGCGCUUACCACUUUGUGAUUCAUGACUGGGGUGAAGUCGUAACAAGGUAACCGUAAAUCGAAUU